AACGAACGCUGGCGGCAGGCUUAACACAUGCAAGUCGAGCGCCCACUUCGGUGGGAGCGGCAGACGGGUGAGUAACACGUGGGAAUCUACCUAUCGGUGCGGAACAACAGUUAGAAAUGACUGCUAAUACCGCAUACGUCCUCAGGGAGAAAGAUUUAUCGCCGAUAGAUGAGCCCGCGUUUGAUUAGCUAGUUGGUGAGGUAAUGGCUCACCAAGGCGACGAUCAAUAGCUGGUCUGAGAGGAUGAUCAGCCACACUGGGACUGAGACACGGCCCAGACUCCUACGGGGAGGCAGCAGUGGGGGGAAUAUUGGACAAUGGGCGCAAGCCUGAUCCAGCCAUGCCGCGUGAGUGAUGAAGGCCCUAGGGUUGUAAAGCUCUUUCGCAGGUGAAGAUAAUGACGGUAACCUGUAAAGAAGCCCCGGCUAACUUCGUGCCAGCCGCCGCGGUAAUU
Molecule: ribosomal RNA, 454 nt
Filed under: uncultured bacterium
Lineage: Bacteria
Description: bacterial SSU rRNA
Rfam family: Bacterial small subunit ribosomal RNA
Source: RNAcentral